GACGAACGCUGGCGGCGUGCUUAACACAUGCAAGUCGAACGGAAAGGCCCUGCUUUUGUGGGGUGCUCGAGUGGCGAACGGGUGAGUAACACGUGAGUAACCUGCCCUUGACUUUGGGAUAACUUCAGGAAACUGGGGCUAAUACCAGAUAGGAGCUCCUGCUGCAUGGUGGGGGUUGGAAAGUUUCGGCGGUUGGGGAUGGACUCGCGGCUUAUCAGCUUGUUGGUGGGGUAGUGGCUUACCAAGGCUUUGACGGGUAGCCGGCCUGAGAGGGUGACCGGCCACAUUGGGACUUAGAUACGGCCCAGACUCCUACGGGAGGCAGCAGUGGGGAAUAUUGCACAAUGGGCGGAAGCCUGAUGCAGCAACGCCGCGUGCGGGAUGACGGCCUUCGGGUUGUAAACCGCUUUCGCCUGUGACGAAGCGUGAGUGACGGUAAUGGGUAAAGAAGCACCGGCUAACUACGUG
This 468-nucleotide ribosomal RNA is filed under the name uncultured bacterium. RNAcentral describes it as "partial 16S ribosomal RNA". It matches the Rfam family "Bacterial small subunit ribosomal RNA", at positions 28 to 507 of the family's 1533-position model. The record is from RNAcentral.